UACGUAGGUGACAAGCGUUAUCCGGAAUUACUGGGCGUAAAGCGCACGCAGGCGGUGCGGUAAGUCUGAUGUGAAAUCUCCUGGCUUAACUGGGAGGGGUCAUUGGAAACUGCCGUACUUGAGGCGAUGAGAGGGGUGUAGAAUUCCCGGUGUAGUGGUGGAAUGCGUAGAUAUCGGGAGGAAUACCAGUGGCGAAAGCGACACCCUGGCAUUAGCCUGACGCUCAGGUGCGAAGGCGUGGGGAGCGAACGGG
This 253-nucleotide ribosomal RNA is filed under the name uncultured bacterium. RNAcentral's name for it is "partial 16S ribosomal RNA". It matches the Rfam family "Bacterial small subunit ribosomal RNA", at positions 524 to 776 of the family's 1533-position model. The record is from RNAcentral.